AUGAACGCUGGCGGCGUGCCUAAUACAUGCAAGUCGAGCGAACAGACGAGGAGCUUGCUCCUCUGACGUUAGCGGCGGACGGGUGAGUAACACGUGGAUAACCUACCUAUAAGACUGGGAUAACUUCGGGAAACCGGAGCUAAUACCGGAUAAUAUAUUGAACCGCAUGGUUCAAUAGUGAAAGACGGUUUUGCUGUCACUUAUAGAUGGAUCCGCGCCGCAUUAGCUAGUUGGUAAGGUAACGGCUUACCAAGGCAACGAUGCGUAGCCGACCUGAGAGGGUGAUCGGCCACAAUGGAACUGAGACACGGUCCAGACUCCUACGGGAGGCAGCAGUAGGGAAUCUUCCGCAAUGGGCGAAAGCUUGACGGAGCAACGCCGCGUGAGUGAUGAAGGUCUUCGGAUCGUAAAACUCUGUUAUUAGGGAAGAACAAAUGUGUAAGUAACUAUGCACGUCUUGACGGUACCUAAUCAGAAAGCCACGGCUAACUACGUG
RNAcentral lists this ribosomal RNA (496 nucleotides) under uncultured bacterium. RNAcentral describes it as "partial 16S ribosomal RNA". It matches the Rfam family "Bacterial small subunit ribosomal RNA", at positions 29 to 507 of the family's 1533-position model. The record is from RNAcentral.